RNAcentral lists this ribosomal RNA (274 nucleotides) under uncultured bacterium. RNAcentral describes it as "partial 16S ribosomal RNA". It matches the Rfam family "Bacterial small subunit ribosomal RNA", at positions 80 to 354 of the family's 1533-position model. The record is from RNAcentral.
UUUCUCCGCCGGUGACCGGCGCACGGGUGAGUAACACGUAUGCAACCUGCCCCUGUCAGGGGGACAACCCGCCGAAAGGCGGGCUAAACCCGCGUACAUGCCACCGGGCAUCCCGGAGGCAGGAAAGGCUUCGGCCGGACAGGGAUGGGCAUGCGGCGCAUUAGGCAGUAGGCGGGGUAACGGCCCACCUAACCGACGAUGCGUAGGGGUUCUGAGAGGAAGGUCCCCCACACUGGUACUGAGACACGGACCAGACUCCUACGGGAGGCAGCAG